RNAcentral lists this long non-coding RNA (431 nucleotides) under Bos taurus (domestic cattle). RNAcentral describes it as "long non-coding RNA NONBTAT004229". Lineage: Eukaryota; Metazoa; Chordata; Mammalia; Artiodactyla; Bovidae. The record is from RNAcentral.
CCUGCCAUUUAUUUUUAACUUUCAUAUUUGCAUUUUAAAGUAUAGCAUAAUAAAAUAUUUUUGCUUCAGUUUUCCCUAAUGAGUUUUACAUUUUUAUAUUUUUCUAUAUUUCAGUAUUUCUAGAAUAUGAUACAUAAUAUUACAAACAAACUUAUAUUCUUCUACUUUUAUUUGGGAAUUAAAAUGGCUGUAAAAGGCACAUUUAUUUAAACUUUUCCUGCAGAGGAUUAAAGAAACUAGAAAAAAAAAUAUAAUCAUAGCCUUAUUUAAAUAUGUUUUAUCUCCCUGUCUGAAGUCCUUCUUUGUAUCCUGGUCCUCAGCUUACACAAUAGUAGGAAGCCAUUCUUGGCACAUGUUUUUGCAACUGUAGGACACUUCAGAAUCCGGUAAAACCAGUGCCCACCCCAAGUGUAAGGAAAAGAUUGUUCAAG